CAGAGGGUGCAAGCGUUGUUCGGAAGUUAUUGGGCGUAAAGGGCGCGUAGGCGGUGCGGUAAGUCUUUUGUGAAAUCUCCGGGCUCAACUCGGAGUCUGCAGGAGAAACUGCCGUGCUUGAGUAUGGGAGAGGUGAGUGGAAUUCCUGGUGUAGCGGUGAAAUGCGUAGAUAUCAGGAGGAACACCUGUGGCGAAAGCGGCUCACUGGACCAUUACUGACGCUGAGGCGCGAAAGCUAGGGGAGCAAACAGGAUUAGAUACCCUGGUAGUCCUAGCCCUAAACGAUGAUUGCUUGGUGUGGCAGGUACCCAAUCCUGCUGUGCCGAAGCUAACGCGAUAAGCAAUCCGCCUGGGGAGUACGGUCGCAAGGCUG
This 373-nucleotide ribosomal RNA is filed under the name uncultured organism. RNAcentral describes it as "bacterial SSU rRNA". It matches the Rfam family "Bacterial small subunit ribosomal RNA", at positions 526 to 896 of the family's 1533-position model. The record is from RNAcentral.